Chelonoidis abingdonii (Abingdon island giant tortoise) is the source of this 1050-nucleotide non-coding RNA. The record is from RefSeq and is a predicted model, not a curated record. NCBI's taxonomy places the organism in Eukaryota, Metazoa, Chordata, Testudines, Testudinidae.
CUUAGACAAUCCAAGAUUCUUGUUGGGAAUGAAACAGCUAGGACUGAAAAUAUAAUUUCAGGAAUUGUUACUGACAUAACUGUGACAGAUGAGAGAAGUGUGGAAACUUCAGAAGUCUGUUAUAUUGAGAGGUGCAGAUGCUAUAGUCAAAAGGAUUAUUUCAUAAGCAUGUAUAUCUUUUAAACGUUAUAUGUAUCCAUGUGAGCUGGGGAUUGUAUUCUAGCUCCAUGGGAGGAAGGUUACCGAGUUUCCCCCAACAGCUAAAAUCAUUGGUGAACCCCUGCAAAUUCCUGGACGGAUAAUUCAAAAGCAGUACCACCCCCUAGGAGAAUUGCAUAUACAGGUUCAGACAGAGUUCAAAAGGCUAAGAGACAAAGAAAGGGUGUUUGGUAUAAUGGGUCAUCACAAACUGACUCAGAGUCCCUCAUGGUCCAGAAACUGACAUGAGAUUGUAACCCAAGAGGCCAAAAACCCUGCUGGAAGGGUUUGAAGCACCUGAAAGCUGCCAGUGUCUCUCUGUGGAAGAUGAGUGACACUUGGUAAGCUUAGCAACCAGGUAGAAUGUUUGUUUUAUUUAUAUGUUUUCUUUGUAAUGUUUUUGUACUAAAUAAAUGUACUGUGCUUUGUGAAAUCUGGUAACCACUGUCAUAGCCCCUGGGAGAGAACAGAAUAGCAGGCUCUAGAUAUUGAGGUCAUACCUGUUGGGAUAGUCACAGUGAAUUUCAGGGGGACUACAAGCCUAAAUCCCUGGUCUGGAAGAAGCAUGAUGCAAAUUCCUGCUCACAGAGAGGUGAUGGCUUGAGGCCAGAGACCUCUAAACAUAAACUAUGCAAGGGGUCAGAGGUGCAUUUAGCCCUGGAACUGUGACAGUAACGGAAAAAGUAUAGGCUGGAUGAAUUAGGUAAGUAAUAAUGGGUUUAGGAAUAUUGUGUUUAGGGUAGAAUGAAAAGUCUUUUUUUCCUCUAGAUACUAGACAUAGUAGCUUGAUCUUGUAAUUUGGGAAUUACAAGGUAGACUGAUUUUUGUAGCAGUAAAACUCUUGAAAAUGUC